Long non-coding RNA from Canis lupus familiaris (dog), 2263 nucleotides. RefSeq lists it as uncharacterized. Lineage: Eukaryota; Metazoa; Chordata; Mammalia; Carnivora; Canidae. The record is from RefSeq and is a predicted model, not a curated record. The transcript is spliced from 5 exons.
GAUGAAUACCCACCAUUUGCUUCGACGUGGAAGGACCUGGAGGGUAUUAUGCUGAGUGAAUGACUUCAAUUUAAAAAAAUGUGUUAGACCAUCUAUUCUCCUGGAAAAUGUCAUAUUGCUCCCCAAACAUUUGUUUUGGCUGAGAUUCCUCUGUGUCUUAGAAUUAGAAAGGAAUUUAGAAGUCAUCCAGCCCUGUCUGCACUUCACAUGAAGAGCAGCGGAAUACUAGAGCAGUUAAAGACUAACUAAAGUACUAAAGUACUAGAGCGGCCAAGACUGCACCACAGCAGCUGGGUUAAGCCCAGGUCUUGGGACUACGGCCCAGGGCUCCAACACAUCAUGCCCUUUAUGCUGCCAGACAUCAAGUGAUAACAUUCAAGAAGCUUCCAAUCCAAAGAUAAGGAGUCUUUGAUUCUAUAACACGUGGAGUCACCAGAAGAGUUGAGGGAAAACAGGCUCCCUGGUGGAGUGAAAAUCACUGGACGGGCGGUCAGGAGAAGUUCCCCUGAGGUCACUGAGUACGGGGCCCUUGGGUAAUGGACCUGAUUCCAAGUCCCUCGAGGCCCACUGUCUAACCACACGAUGCUGAAUUUAGUCCAUACAAAAUGAGAAGAAGCCUCCUCUUGAACAAAUCUGUACUGACCGCUGAAGGAAGCGACGUGCUUUGAAGGUGGACCAAAGGACGGAGAGGAGACAAACUGCGGGAGGAAGCUUUGCCAUCGGCAUGCUAGAUCUGAGGGUUGUGUGGGAGACCAGUUACUGUUCCGAAGAUUUAAGACAACAUUGUCUGAAUUUACACAUUCACAGAUAUUAUUAGAAGUCACAACUAGGCUGAGGGCAGCGAUAGGCACAAUAUAACCUAACGUAUGUUAGACCAUUACUAUGCUACUCUAGAUAUUUUUUCCCAAAAUAUUUGUUGAGUCUUUAAAUCAGUUGUCUCUCCAAGUUUCUUAAAAUGGAAUCUCUGGAAAUCCAUCUUAAUGACUAAACAAGCGUUGAGCAUUAGCUGUUGCAACUGCAUCUGGGAAUAGUUCUCAAAUGUUUAACUGGACGUCAAAUGGGGUAAAGAAGCCAUUCGGUCAUUUAAUGUGAAGAGCUACAUUUUUCCUACCAGUUUUAAUUGGAUCAAGUCCCAUUAUCUCCCCUUUUCCCCAGACCCUCUCACUGCUGUGCUACUGUCAGGGGCUGUUGGCUGGAUUUGAUGGCAUAAGUGACUACUAUGGGAAAUGAAGAAAGCCUAAGCCUAAAACAACUCACUUUUUCUUGUCUUUUUUUCUACUUUCAGUAUCAACAGGAAAUGAAGAAGUACAGAUUUUUAUAGCCAUUUUAUAGUCAACAUUUCAUUUAUUUAUGUUUUGUUUAAAGAAAAUAGAACAUAGACUCUGUGUGCGUGUUGCCCGCUAUCACAAUUUUGUAUUUCUUACCAAAUCCUAUUUCUUAGUGACAUCAUGUUAAAAUCCAGAAAAAGAAUAACUGAGUAAUUGGUCAAGAGGUCAAGAGUGAGGAACAGGAAGGAAACAGAAGCUGACGUGCCAAAGACGGGAGCGAGGAUGACAGUUCAUGAAAGAGGAACACUUAGAAGUCAUUGGCCUCUGGGAGAACAAAGCAAUAAAACUCAAUGCCAAUGAGCACGGGCCCAUCAAGAGCUGCACAGCUUCCAAACUACCUAAAUUUAACUCCAUCUCAACAAUGUUUGGAUAAUCCCAUUACAGCCAUACACGGUCAGUUAUUUUUCAAGUUUAAAUGUUUCAAAAAGAAGUUAUGAUUUCCUAAUGCAGAUCAUUUUAGCAUCUUGAUCAGCACGGGUUAGAAACUCAGGGCAUAUCUCUGCAGUGUAAAUCAUGGGCCGGAAAGGAUUCAUACUGAGGAUUUUCAUCAACUCAACAGCCAAAUUAGACUGACUAAAUAACCAAUCAAUUUGAACCCAAGCAAGCCUGUGAGAAAGGAAACAGGAGAGUGGGUAUGACAUCUGUUGGCCCUUCUUGCUGGACAGGAGCCCUUGAGAUUGACUCAAAGUGAAGUGCGGUAUUCAUUUACUCCCGUCCCUUCUGAAAUCUUCUACUGUAUGGAAGAGAGCACGUAAAGACUGUGAAGGGAGUGAGGAGAAGAAAAUAACAGUGUCAAGAGUUAAUGGUAUGCCAGGACACCUGCGUGGCUCAGCGGUUGAGCAUCUGCCUUGGGCUCAGGGCAUGACCCCGGCGUCCCGGGAUAGAGUCCCACGUCGGGCUCCCUGCACGGAGCCUGUUUCUCCCUCUGCCUGUGU